AACGUAGGAGACAACCGUUAUCCGGAGUUACUGGGCGUAAAGGGUGCGUAGGCGGGUCUUUAAGUCAGGGGUGAAAUCCUGGAGCUCAACUCCAGAACUGCCUUUGAUACUGAGGAUCUUGAGUUCGGGAGAGGUGAGUGGAACUGCGAGUGUAGAGGUGAAAUUCGUAGAUAUUCGCAAGAACACCAGUGGCGAAGGCGGCUCACUGGCCCGAUACUGACGCUGAGGCACGAAAGCGUGGGGAGCAAACAGG
RNAcentral lists this ribosomal RNA (253 nucleotides) under uncultured bacterium. RNAcentral's name for it is "partial 16S ribosomal RNA". It matches the Rfam family "Bacterial small subunit ribosomal RNA", at positions 524 to 776 of the family's 1533-position model. The record is from RNAcentral.